Trachemys scripta elegans is the source of this 1203-nucleotide long non-coding RNA. RefSeq lists it as uncharacterized. Lineage: Eukaryota; Metazoa; Chordata; Testudines; Emydidae. The transcript has 3 exons. The record is from RefSeq and is a predicted model, not a curated record.
AUAAAUCACUUAAAAAAUGUAUAGUGUUACCUUCUAAAAAUAAAACCUACAUCUACCUCUGAGUUGUGAAGAACGUGUAUUAAGGUUAUAGCAACCACCAAGAAUGUACUUUUUAUGUAGAAAUCCAUGAUUAAACCCAGUCUUCCUGACUAGUGAUUUAGAUCAAUUUGAUUUAAAUCAAAUUCACCCUACUUCUCCCUGAUAAUAGCUAGGGAUAGUUGAAGCUCUGGACAUCUUGGUUGGUUGAUUCUGGACUUUAUUUACAUAUUGCUAUCCUUCAGACAUAUAGGAUGGCUAGGAUUUCAUUUGAAUCAUGUAAAGACUUGUAAAUGCUACACUAUGAUGCAAGUGUACUAUUCCCUUCCAAUAAAAUGGUGCAAAGGAAAACAUGUAUAGACAAUAUUUUGUCCAUAUGCAAUUACACUAAUUCAGUAUAAUACAGAAAACUAAGGCAGAGACUUACUAAAGUUAGAGAAACCACUUAAACCCUUUAAAUAUAUCAGCAUCUCUUUCUCAGAGACAAAACACAGACAUGCUAUGGACACACGACGCCCUUGUGCUUCUUUCUCCUCCUUCUCUUUCAAAAUGGAGAACUCUUCUGUAGUUAACAAGUUUAAGUGCCCGUCCCUGUGUCAUGCAAAGGUCAGGCUCUCUCCUCAGUUAAAUCCCUCAGUAGAUCAUUCUUGGUUGAUAAGGGAUUCAGAAAAACAUUUUCCAAUAAAUAGCCAUAAUAGACAUUUUCCAAUAGUCUAAGGAAGUCUUUGGAUGUUUGUGUGAUGUUUUCUUGCCCAUAUCUUUUAUAGUUGGUACAUAUCUGAUUGUAAUGUUCAUCCUUCUUAGAAACUUUACAUAUAUUCUUAAGAAAACUUAUUGACCUCUUUACAGAGACAAUCCACUAGUAUCCUGCAUCAUCAUCUAUCUUCCUCAAAGAGAAAGAUCUUAACAAAGUCUUUUAUGACUGAUGGCCAGAACUGCCCACUGUAGCAAACCAGCUAUACUUUCUGUUUGAUUGAAAUGAUAUUGAACAGCGUUUGAAGGAGUGCAACUGUCAGCGAUGAAGACGAAGCUACAGAGAGGUUCCAACCUGGAUCAUGUGGCAGUGAGAAGGAACUGGAGAGGUGGUUGGUCCACCCUGCUCUUUAUCCCCUCAGUCGGAGGCACAAGAACAUAAGAACCGCCAUACUGGGUCAGACCAAACGUCCA